AUGUGGGAUCAAGUCCCACAUCGGGCUCCCUGCAUGGAGCCUGCUUCUCCCNCUCUCUCUCUCUCUCUCUCUCUCUCUCUCUGUCUCUCAUGAAUAAAUAAAUAAAAUCUUUUAAAAAAAAAAGAAAGAAAAGAAAAGAAAAGAAAAGAAAAGAAAAGAAAAGAAAAAGAAAAUGGUUGCAAUAGAAAACUUUGCAUGAUGUGUAUUUUCCUGCGCUCAUCCCCAGAGACUGCAUUAUGAAUUAAUGCAUGCAAAUACUUCCUAUCAAUGGAGUCACAAGGAUUAGUCUGCAGCCUACGGAAAGCAAGAUCUCCCAGGAGGGAAGGAGGGAUAUCUUAGCAAUGUCAUCACAGAGAAGUACUUGCAAUGAUAGAGGAUAUCUGAUAUCACUGUGACCGCCCCUCAGGCUUCUCUUCUCUCCUCAUCAGAGCAGGUCUAUCCUAUGCUUCGAUGCCUCCCAACCAUCUGCACCCAACUGAGGUGACACCAGCAAGACUCUUCUGUUCCUGCUGUUCCAUCUCAACAAGAUCCUAUAUCCAGAAAGGGCAAAGGAAGCAAAGAGCCAACCUAAGCUGUAGAGAGCCGACGCAGGAAGACGAGAUUCCCAAGGUGCCUCUCUGUGACCUGUCAUCCCAGCCUCAGUCUGCAGAACCUUCCAGCAACAGAGACAUCUUCCUCAGCUCUGCACUCAGCGAGGGGAGCGACCGGGGAGCCACCACCCCAGCCCAGGCACCCAAGAUUUACGAAGGGCCCUGCCUUCCAUUAGGCAGCGGGAAGGGGCUGGGCGUCUCUGCUCAGCUUUAGAAGUCCAUUUGUUUCCAUUCCUUGUCAGCAGUUUGCAUAAGUGAGUGGUUUUAUUUCUUGGGAGCGAGGAGGAAAAAACGCACGAGUUACCCCAGCAGUGGGAGAUUUGUCAAAUAAAGCUUUUAA
Molecule: long non-coding RNA, 930 nt
Filed under: Vulpes vulpes (red fox)
Lineage: Eukaryota; Metazoa; Chordata; Mammalia; Carnivora; Canidae
Description: lncRNA (ENSVVUG00000017339.1)
Source: RNAcentral